UACGUAGGUGGCAAGCGUUGUCCGGAUUUACUGGGCGUAAAGGGCGCGUAGGCGGCCACCGCAAGUCGAUUGUGAAAUCUCCGGGCUUAACCCGGAAAGGUCAACCGAUACUGCGGGGCUAGAGUGCAGAAGGGGCAACUGGAAUUCUCGGUGUAGCGGUGAAAUGCGUAGAUAUCGAGAGGAACACCUGCGGCGAAGGCGGGUUGCUGGGCUGACACUGACGCUGAGGCGCGAAAGCUAGGGGAGCGAACGGG
RNAcentral lists this ribosomal RNA (254 nucleotides) under uncultured bacterium. RNAcentral's name for it is "partial 16S ribosomal RNA". It matches the Rfam family "Bacterial small subunit ribosomal RNA", at positions 524 to 776 of the family's 1533-position model. The record is from RNAcentral.